CUUUGAAAGGAAAAGGAGCUCAAUGUCUGGUUCUCUUGGCCUCACUGGGCAAGCUGCUUCCUGAAAGUGCUGACCUCAUUUCUUAAGGGGAUAGAUAAGCAUUUAUUCAUAUGAUGGGAUUUCAAGAGGGUGAGAGCAGAGCCCUCGAAGGUGAUUGCAGGGCGCAGAAGAGGUGUCCAAGGGCUUCAAAGACUUCCCUUAAGGCCUGUCCUGCUUACAAGAAAUGCAAUCAGGGGGAGCAGAAUGACGCAGAGGAGUCUGGAAGCUCAGGAUUGCAUUAAGCGACUUUCCCAUACUGUGAGGAGAUGUGGUGGGGACCAUUAACUGUUGGAAGGAUUCCUUUUAAGGAUGCAUUAUAUCAAGAGCUAGAUAUCAGAGCCACUUGGGAGAAAUAAGAAACAGGUGUAGAAACAGUCGCAGAUUGGCAUGAGCUGUGGAGAAAGAGUCUGGAUUCUGGGUUGCUGUGUCACACACAGCCCACUUGCAGGAUGACAGUGGAAGAAUGAGUCAUGAUCUCUGCAAGCGCCCAUCAAGAACAGCCUGAGAGGUCUGGAAAGUGCUCACCCCAGGACCCUUCAUGUCCUUAUUAAAAUUGUAUGGCAGAAAAAAUGAGUCAUAGGUGAAAAACAGGCUCUAUAAAAAGCUUUUCUUGCCUUGGUAUCAGACAUAACAUUUUACUUCAAGGAAGAGCAAUAUAAUAACCUAGUGGUUAAGAGCAUGGGCUUUGGGAUCACGUAGCUCGAAGUGCAGAUCGGACACAGCCAUUUAACUUUGAGCAAUUUGCUUAACCUUUCUUUAGCCUUCAUUUCCUUAUCUGUAAUAGAGCUCUGAAAUAAUACCAACCUCCUAGGGUUGUUCUGAAAAUUAAUGAGAUAAUGCACAAAACAACUUUAAAAAUCUGGUACCAUAUAGUAAAAACUGAAUAAAGAGUGUAGGGUUAUUAUUGCUCUGAUAUCAUUAUCAUUCAUGGAAAAUACAGGAGAAAUAGAAUCCCUCACCUUCUAUGAUUAGAAACAUAUUAUCACUGACAAGAAGCGCAAUUCAAUAUUUAUUAUGAAUUAUAGUACUAAAAUUAAGGUACUAUCUCGGUACUUUUCUCCUAGUAUAGCUCCUUGAUACUCAUAUAUAUGCUACUUAUAUAAUUCAUAUUGUAGAGUAAAAGCAACAAUGUUUAUUGGAGUAAUAAAAAUACCACUAUGCUAGAGGCUGGCAGACUUCACUGAAAUAUACGGUUUGCAAAUUUUCACAUCAGCUCAAAGUAGUAUAUCUCAGAGUAAGCGAUGUUCAGAUGCAUGGAAGUGGUUAUUGGCUUCUGAACAGUGAAUGUCUUGAGCAUCUUGUUUCCUGAGGUUUCCAUAUGGUGAAGUAUCUCUAAGGAGACACCUUUACCACGUAUGUAGGCUUUCACUGGUCUAAAUUUCUACUGUAUAUGACAUAGUUUAGAUAACAGAGGCAGCUCUUCCCUUUAUUUCUGUUUUUUAUUGCAUUUUAAAGAAUGCUGAAGAAAAUAGAGAGUCAUCUGUGAAAAUCUUUUAGAUAAUUUCUAAUCACUCAAUAUCCCUUUUCUAUUAUUAUUUGAGCAUCUCUACGGGAGGUCAUUUUGGCUAAUGAUUUUAUGUUCUAAGAUUCAUCAUCUCUGCUGUCAGAGUGUGAUGAAAAUGCCUAGAAAAGAAUGUAAAAUUUUUUUUAGUAAUAGAGGAUUUAGGGUAAAGUAUCUCCAUUAAAUUUUGACUCUUAAAAAUAUAGCUCAGGCAAAAAUUGAUCUGUUCUUUCUGUUCAGCAAUUUAGAUCUCAUUUUCAUGAAAAUAAGAAGGCUAUUGGAAAGUACCAUACAUGGUAUUACAUUUUUGUAUAAUAUGCACUAUCUCAAUGCAUUACUAUUAGGCAAUUUAUAUUUCUUAGAAAAGCUAUCUGGCCUUGUCUAAUAUUCAUUGAUGAAAUUAAUUUAAUAUAAAAGUUCUGAAUUUUAAAGUCCUUUCCAGAAUUAUUUUUACAGAAAUCAUCUUCAGGACUGCUGUUGUUAUAUCUAUCACAAGAUCAUAUGAUGUAGUUGAGAAUAAGAAGCAUUAGCCUUUGAGAUUAAGCUGCUUGGUCAAUGAGAAGGUCUUACAUAUUUGGAAAUCUGGCUGAAAAUUUCAUGCAGAAUUUCAACUGUUUCUGAUGAGCUUCACCUGGCCCUUUUGGCCGACAAUUCAUCAUGUCUAUUACCUGCAUCAUUCAAAUUUCUUUUGAAGGAGAACAUUGAUAAACGUUUUCAUAACUUAAUAUCCUUGUCAUAGUAGUGGCAGCCAAAAAUCAUUGACCUGAUGAAUAGAAAUAAAUGACUUUAGAAAUAUGUUCAUAUCUGAUAAAGGCUUCAAUGUUGGGCCACUGGCAUUGAAUAGUCUGAUAAUGACAGUGCUCACAGAAAUAUGUAUGUGUAUGUAUAUACAUAUGUGUGUGUACCUCUGUGUUUUCUACUUAACAUAUAUAUAGACAUAUAUAUCUAAAUUUCUAUUGCUUUUUAAACUAUAAUGCCCCCCACAUAAUUAUUGUUGGCCUAUUUCUUUGUCUCCUAGAUCAGUAGUCUUCACAUUUGAUUUUGAUUAAAUAUUUCAUCAAUAAAUUUUUUAAAACAAAUAUCCUUUCUCUUCACAUUUAUUUUACAAAUUAUUUGUAAAACACUAAGAUGUAUGUUAUAAAACAUAGAGGAAGAUAACUUACAAAGGAUAUUUCACUUUUCCUAUUAACACUGCAGAAAAGCUCAUACUUUUUGUCUGUGUGACUUAAAAAUUUUGGAAAUUUUAGUUUUAUACUUCAUAAUAAAUUAUUUCAAAGCUCU
This 2821-nucleotide long non-coding RNA is filed under the name Homo sapiens (human). RNAcentral's name for it is "HSALNT0199958". The record is from RNAcentral. Lineage: Eukaryota; Metazoa; Chordata; Mammalia; Primates; Hominidae.